AGUAACACGUGAGCAACCUGCCCCGAAGACCGGGAUAGCCCGAGGAAACUCGGAUUAAUACCGGAUGCCUUCACACUUCCGCAUGGCGGAGUGAAGAAAUGCCUUUGUGCUUCGGGAUGGGCUCGCGGCCUAUCAGCUAGUUGGUGAGGUAAAGGCUCACCAAGGCGUCGACGGGUAGCUGGUCUGAGAGGACGAUCAGCCACACUGGAACUGAGACACGGUCCAG
RNAcentral lists this ribosomal RNA (226 nucleotides) under uncultured bacterium. Its description in RNAcentral is "partial 16S ribosomal RNA". It matches the Rfam family "Bacterial small subunit ribosomal RNA", at positions 109 to 334 of the family's 1533-position model. The record is from RNAcentral.